Molecule: long non-coding RNA, 1239 nt
Filed under: Pogona vitticeps (central bearded dragon)
Lineage: Eukaryota; Metazoa; Chordata; Lepidosauria; Squamata; Agamidae
Description: lncRNA (ENSPVIG00000020453.1)
Source: RNAcentral
AUGAAACUUCAGCGACAGAUUUAUUCUUUACUCCUUUUCUGCAGCAAGGACACACACACAAGAGGGGAGCACAACCUAGAGGAAUCGUAUUCGUGUAAUCAAUCUCAAUCUUCUUUUACUAUUCUGAGUUCUUUUUCCAGCAGAAGGUGGAAAGUGCACGUAGGGGGGAUAAAACAGGGCCAGGGAAGAGCCGCCCAGAAUUUUUCUCCCCUUCCCUUCAGACCCUUGGAAGGGAAGAUGCGAGACACCAUCCAUGAGUCAAAAGACAGGGAGGUGGGCUGGAAAAGAGACCGGGCAAGCUAUGAAAAUCGUUGUGCAUUUCCCCUUCUCGACGGAUCUUCGCUUCCCUUGCUUUGCAAACAUUAGCAAAGGAUCACGGCUUCCUUUUUGAGAUUUUGGAGAGCAAAGAGAGAGACCUCGCUAGCCACCUCCUUUCCCAGGGAAAAUUGUUGCUCCGCCGCCCCAGUCUUUGCAAAACUUUCACAUCUUGCUGGAAAAGGACGUGGCCAGCCUCGGNNNNNNNNNNNNNNNNNNNNNNNNNNAAGCGCGGGGCCCCCCCCCCCAGGCAAGCUUUUUUUUUUUUCCAGCCAGGAGGCGCCCUCCCCCGUAGAGUCAAAAAAGGUCCCCCGUAAUCCCCAAGGGAGGGGGGAGGAAAAAAAAUCCAGAAAGGAAGAAAAUCAAGGGGAGGCUCGGAAGAAACACCCCGUCAUCAAGGCUUCCCACGGCGAGGACCCACCAGCUAAGCCGCAAAGACGAGAGGGAGAAGCAGGCGGAUACCCAGCCCCAGCCAGGUUCUCUCCAACCCCGUAGAGUCAAAAAAGGUCCCCCGUAAUCCCCAAGGGAGGGGGGAGGAAAAAAAAUCCAGAAAGGAAGAAAAUCAAGGGGAGGCUCGGAAGAAACACCCCGUCAUCAAGGCUUCCCACGGCGAGGACCCACCAGCUAAGCCGCAAAGACGAGAGGGAGAAGCAGGCGGAUACCCAGCCCCAGCCAGGUUCUCUCCAAAAAACUUCAGCAUCUCUCUCCUCCACCCCCCCUCCCUCUCCCCGCAACCGCGCCGCCAGCUCCAGCCUUACUUACCGGCGGCUGAUGUGGCCAAAACCCCCACCGACAGCAGCAGAAUCCGACUCCAGUAGCUCACCUCCACCGUCAUGAGAGCAAAGAUUCCCAGUUCCCCCAAAUGCCGUUUAAAGCUGCAGUGGCAUGCCGGCGCGUCCCAAACGAGAGCAGGCUGCAUGUCAA